CCUACGGGUCGCAGCAGUGAGGAAUAUUGGUCAAUGGGCGUAAGCCUGAACCAGCCAAGUCGCGUGAGGGAUGAAGGUUCUAUGGAUCGUAAACCUCUUUUAUAAGGGAAUAAAGUGUGGGACGUGUCCUGUUUUGUAUGUACCUUAUGAAUAAGCAUCGGCUAACUCCGUGCCAGCAGCCGUGUUAAUACGGAGGCUGCGAGCGUUAUCCGUAUUUCUUGGGGUUAAAGGGUGCGUAGGCGGACUGGAAAGUCAGCGGUAACAUCGAGAGGCUCAACCUCUUUCCGCCGUUGAAACUGGCGGUCUUGAGUGGGCGAGAAGUAUGCGGAAGGCGUGGGGUAGCGGUGAAAUGCAUAGAUAUCACGCAGAACUCCGAUUGCGAAGGCAGCAUACCGGCGCCCGACUGACGCUGAGGCACGAAAGCGUGGGUAUCGAACAGGAUUAGAUACCCUUGUAGUC
Molecule: ribosomal RNA, 459 nt
Filed under: uncultured bacterium
Lineage: Bacteria
Description: partial 16S ribosomal RNA
Rfam family: Bacterial small subunit ribosomal RNA
Source: RNAcentral